Molecule: long non-coding RNA, 1184 nt
Filed under: Anas platyrhynchos platyrhynchos (common mallard)
Lineage: Eukaryota; Metazoa; Chordata; Aves; Anseriformes; Anatidae
Description: lncRNA (ENSAPLG00000023180.1)
Source: RNAcentral
AAUUUUUGCAGGGAUAAGAAAAGGAGCUGCUGAUGUUGUUUUCCUGCUCCCGCCAGCUCUGUGCGCGAGGCAUCUUCCCAAGAUCAGCAGCCUUCAUUCCUCUGGUGAGCAAAAAGCUUGAAGCGUGAUCCUCGCUGCUGGGGAAAUAAAUCUCUCCCCAAAUACCCAAAUCUCCCCAGUCUUCAUGCCCGCACAGCAGGAUUGGGAGCCCGCAGGACCAGCCGAGGGUGCCUACAGCUUGCCACCCUGCUUUCCUUCCCCUUAACCCUGCACAUCCCCAGCAGGACCCCUGCCUGCUGCACAUCCAGGAUUGCAUCCAGAUCCUUUGGAGCCAGCGGCCACACUAAAAGCGCAUGGGUUUUAGCUGGGAAGAUAUCAUUUUUAAAGUUUCAUGUAUUUGUGAGGAGCAUUAGUUAGACCCACAUUGUAUGCUUGCAGAUUUUAGGUAAAGAGGCAGACAUACACAAACAGCAGCGUAGCUGUGCCUAGAAAUGAAAUAUAAAUUAAACAUAAAUGUCACCAUUCUUAACAGAGCUUUAAGCCUACGGGGACACUUUUUAAAAGUCAGUAUAAUCUCUAUAUUAAGGUAUUUAGAAGAAUACUUUUAGGUGAUGAAAUUUAUAGAGCCAUUUAAUGAUUACCUGAUGGACAGACAGGCACACCAGAGGGUACAGCAUAAACAGCUACAAAGACCUUUCUUAAACUUUCAACUUUGCAUCUAAACUCUAUUUUUUUGAUGCUUUCUAAAAUAAUCUGGAAUUAAAACAGAUACUUUGAAAUCGAUACGGGUAGGUGGUUCCACUUCCCCUCUCGCCUUAGGGAAAGAAAGUCUAGUGAGGGAUUAAAUUAAGUUUUUUAAGGAAGUUUGAGAAAAGGUUCAAUUUUGAAACCCCGGAGAGCCUUCCUUAGGCUGAUUUAGGGGAAAAAGCUGAGUUUCUGCUUUCUCAGUAGCACUCGGUGACAUUUCUGCUGCUCAGCUGCUGGGGCAGCGUCUCCGCAGGCUGGGGGGUGCCCCCCCCCCCCCCCCCCAGCUUGGAGGUGCCUGAGCAAAUCUCCUGCAUAUCCAGCAUCCCAAAUAUCUCCCUGGGAGAGAGGGGCUGUAAAUGUGGCAGUGCUAACCACCAACAAUAAGUAGGGAAAUCUGAUUUAGUCUUGACAAGGGGCUCCCACAGAAGCUGCUCUUU